Molecule: ribosomal RNA, 2343 nt
Filed under: Triticum aestivum (bread wheat)
Lineage: Eukaryota; Viridiplantae; Streptophyta; Magnoliopsida; Poales; Poaceae
Description: partial small subunit ribosomal RNA
Source: RNAcentral
AUGUACUCGGUCGAGGAGGUGCUAUGGUACUUAUACUUCCAUCAUCCCAUUCUGUCCAUCAACAUGUUUCCCGUAGGAGAUGUAGAAGACCUGUCGGUAGGUCCAUGGGAGGGCGCGCCGGUGGCCGCCGAUACCCCGGCGCCAGAAAUGAGCCCUAGCAACAUGCUGAUGCUGAUCCACGCAGACAAAGGGUUGCAGAUCAACCUCCUAGCCAUGCUUAGUGCUGUGUUGAUCGGCUUCCAGGUGCUGUUGGGAUCUCGGCGCCGGCGCUCCCGCAACAAAAUCAUUGUGAACCUGCUGCGGGGUGCUUAUAUUGUCUCCUUCCCGGUGUUCGUCUACACCAUCGGCCUCGUCCAGUCCGUGGAGGCGCCCAAACAGCUUGACAGCCAACUGUUGUGGGCCGUUGGGCUUCUGCUCCUCCUCGGUAGCGUGGACGGCAUGUCGGCCUUCACCCGACAGGAGGUCGAGAAUAGCAAAGGUGUUCAGGCGGAGCACAUGAUCAAGACGGUUCUUGUGCUCUGGCUCCUCGUCAGCCGGAGCGACGUCUCCGAGGGCGGGUGGAUCUUGCUUCUCUACUUCCUCCUCUGCUGGGUGUAUAGCAUCUUGAGGGUCGCCCAGAGGAUGAAGGCGUUGCGCAAGGCCAGCUCGGCACAAGGUCUUGUGCGCAGCGCCAAGGUGGUGGCUGACUACAUGCAAGAUGUCUAUGCCUCUGAUGAUAGGAUUCAUAGCCCCAUGGACAUGGCUAAGUGCAAGUAUCUGGUCCUCGGCGAGGAAAAGGACUCCAGCCCACCGUCCAAGGCGCCCUCCUACCUCUCAGAGGUGGGCAGCAAGGGCAAGCUCGUCACGUUCGACAUGAUCUGGAACAGCAAGGGCAAGCUGCUGCCGAGUCCCACUCCUGACGAUAACCAGAAGCCUGUGCCUCUGAAAGAUACUUGUCUUUCCUUCGCCUUGUUCAAGUUGCUCAAGCGGCGCUUCUGCCCGGGGCUCCCCAUCGCUGAGGAGGGUGACCCGGAGGCGCUGAAAUUCGUCCUCGCCAAGGGCAAGCAUGCCUUCCAUCUCGUGGAGGUCGAGUUGUCGUUCCUGUACGACUUCUUCUACACCAAGUACCCGGCGCUCUUCCCCGCGGCCCCAGCUGCGCUACGCGUCCUUCGUUUCAUCGUCCUUAUUGUCUUGUUCAAGGUGCUCCUCUUGGAUUUUGUUUACGAGGGCAUCAUAUCGUACUCAAAUAUCCCAGCGGAAUUCCUUGAGAAUAACACGGGAUACUCCUCCAGUCACGCGGUUGUCUUCAUCCUCUUCAACAACAUUCUCGUCGUCUUCAUGAUUCUUAGCAUUGACAUCCUGCAAGACGUUGCCACGGGUUACUCAAACUGGGCCAUUGUACACUACGUGUGCGAUUACGUGAGAAGCAAGGGGAGGAUAGACAACAAGGGGUGGUGGAUGACGGCAAAGCGGUGGUGGAAACGGGGCUUCGGCAUUCGUCGAGCGCUGAUUAAAUGGGUGGCGGCACGCCGGGCAAAAAAUCCGGCACACUGGUGGAACAACAAGCUCGGCCAGUACUCGCUGCUCAACUCCUGCGGCUACACCGCGCACAAGACGAAUGCCUUCUCCCUGUUGACCCUACGCCUGCUGGAGAAGACAGGAGAAGGCCGGAAGCGCGGCAAGGAUAUCACCCUGUCAGACGAAAUCAAGGACGAGGUUCUCAGCUCCCUCGAGAAAAGUGGUGGCCGGCUGUCGGUCGACCGUUCAGGCGAUCUGAGGAACAAGGUGCUGCAGCUGGACUGGGCGCCUCUCGACCUCUCGAGGAGCACGCGCACGGUCCUCGUAUGGCACAUUGCCACCACCAUAUGCGUCGACCAGGACCAGGGCACCAACAACUCCGACCGCCGCGUUGCAACAACACUGUCCAACUACUGCGCCUACCUGCUUGCUUUCGUCCCGGACAUGCUGCCCGACCACAGCUACACGGCCACGCAGAUCCUAGACGCCGUUAUUCUAGAUGCCCGAAAGCGCCUCGACACAACCAAAAGUUCAUUGUCGGACAGAUGUAAAAUGAUGUUACAAUUGGGAAAGACACACAACAGCAAGAUGGAGCAAGACGUGUCCAUCUUGAUCCUUGGAGCCAGCCUGGCUGACAAGCUAUUGGCAGAGAACGAGCGGCCACCGUGGAAGCUGCUCGCGGCCUUCUGGGCCGACCUGGUGCUCUUCCUGGCGCCGUCCGAUAAGGCCGAUGUCCAUGCCGACCACCUAGCUACCGGCGGGGAGUUCAUGACCCACCUUUGGGCGCUGCUCACGCACGCGGGAAUUGUUCACCGUCCAGACAUCCGUGCUGCAUCACAUGUUUGA